Molecule: ribosomal RNA, 1504 nt
Filed under: Helicobacter pylori
Lineage: Bacteria; Pseudomonadati; Campylobacterota; Epsilonproteobacteria; Campylobacterales; Helicobacteraceae
Description: bacterial SSU rRNA
Rfam family: Bacterial small subunit ribosomal RNA
Source: RNAcentral
UUUAUGGAGAGUUUGAUCCUGGCUCAGAGUGAACGCUGGCGGCGUGCCUAAUACAUGCAAGUCGAACGAUGAAGCUUCUAGCUUGCUAGAAUGCUGAUUAGUGGCGCACGGGUGAGUAACGCAUAGGUCAUGUGCCUCUUAGUUUGGGAUAGCCAUUGGAAACGAUGAUUAAUACCAGAUACUCCCUACGGGGGAAAGAUUUAUCGCUAAGAGAUCAGCCUAUGUCCUAUCAGCUUGUUGGUAAGGUAAUGGCUUACCAAGGCUAUGACGGGUAUCCGGCCUGAGAGGGUGAACGGACACACUGGAACUGAGACACGGUCCAGACUCCUACGGGAGGCAGCAGUAGGGAAUAUUGCUCAAUGGGGGAAACCCUGAAGCAGCAACGCCGCGUGGAGGAUGAAGGUUUUAGGAUUGUAAACUCCUUUUGUUAGAGAAGAUAAUGACGGUAUCUAACGAAUAAGCACCGGCUAACUCCGUGCCAGCAGCCGCGGUAAUACGGAGGGUGCAAGCGUUACUCGGAAUCACUGGGCGUAAAGAGCGCGUAGGCGGGAUAGUCAGUCAGGUGUGAAAUCCUAUGGCUUAACCAUAGAACUGCAUUUGAAACUACUAUUCUAGAGUGUGGGAGAGGUAGGUGGAAUUCUUGGUGUAGGGGUAAAAUCCGUAGAGAUCAAGAGGAAUACUCAUUGCGAAGGCGACCUGCUGGAACAUUACUGACGCUGAUUGCGCGAAAGCGUGGGGAGCAAACAGGAUUAGAUACCCUGGUAGUCCACGCCCUAAACGAUGGAUGCUAGUUGUUGGAGGGCUUAGUCUCUCCAGUAAUGCAGCUAACGCAUUAAGCAUCCCGCCUGGGGAGUACGGUCGCAAGAUUAAAACUCAAAGGAAUAGACGGGGACCCGCACAAGCGGUGGAGCAUGUGGUUUAAUUCGAAGAUACACGAAGAACCUUACCUAGGCUUGACAUUGAGAGAAUCCGCUAGAAAUAGUGGAGUGUCUGGCUUGCUAGACCUUGAAAACAGGUGCUGCACGGCUGUCGUCAGCUCGUGUCGUGAGAUGUUGGGUUAAGUCCCGCAACGAGCGCAACCCCCUUUCUUAGUUGCUAACAGGUCAUGCUGAGAACUCUAAGGAUACUGCCUCCGUAAGGAGGAGGAAGGUGGGGACGACGUCAAGUCAUCAUGGCCCUUACGCCUAGGGCUACACACGUGCUACAAUGGGGUGUACAAAGAGAAGCAAUACUGCGAAGUGGAGCCAAUCUUCAAAACGCCUCUCAGUUCGGAUUGUAGGCUGCAACUCGCCUGCAUGAAGCUGGAAUCGCUAGUAAUCGCAAAUCAGCCAUGUUGCGGUGAAUACGUUCCCGGGUCUUGUACUCACCGCCCGUCACACCAUGGGAGUUGUGUUUGCCUUAAGUCAGGAUGCUAAAUUGGCUACUGCCCACGGCACACACAGCGACUGGGGUGAAGUCGUAACAAGGUAACCGUAGGUGAACCUGCGGUUGGAUCACCUCCUUU